CAUGGCUGCUGCCGCCAAGGUUCCCCGGGCGUCAUGCCCGCGGGCUAAGAGGGAACUCGGUGAGCUCGUCGCGAGCGAUGCCGAGGCUGCCCCCGCAACUGUGAGCGGAGAGAUCCCGCCGCCGACGGUCACUGGUGCGCUGCACCGGGAAGGCCAGGCGGGAGCGACGAUCCGCGAGCCAGGAGACCUGCCUUCGGUACGCGCCGCGU
This 209-nucleotide non-coding RNA is filed under the name Methylobacterium platani. Lineage: Bacteria; Pseudomonadati; Pseudomonadota; Alphaproteobacteria; Hyphomicrobiales; Methylobacteriaceae. The record is from RNAcentral.